This 253-nucleotide ribosomal RNA is filed under the name uncultured bacterium. RNAcentral's name for it is "partial 16S ribosomal RNA". It matches the Rfam family "Bacterial small subunit ribosomal RNA", at positions 524 to 776 of the family's 1533-position model. The record is from RNAcentral.
GACAGAGGCCCCAAGCGUUAGGCGGAAUCACUGGGCUUAAAGCGUGUGUAGGCGGACUUCUAAGUGCCUUGUGAAAUCCCACGGCUCAACCGUGGAACUGCUGGGCAUACUGGGAGUCUUGGGCCAUUCAGGGGCAACUGGAACAAGCGGUGGAGCGGUGAAAUGCGUAGAUAUGCGGAGGAAUACCGAUGGCGAAGGCAGCCCCCUGGGUCAACACUGACGCUCAUGCACGAAAGCGUGGGGAGCAAACAGG